RNAcentral lists this ribosomal RNA (459 nucleotides) under uncultured bacterium. RNAcentral describes it as "partial 16S ribosomal RNA". It matches the Rfam family "Bacterial small subunit ribosomal RNA", at positions 338 to 795 of the family's 1533-position model. The record is from RNAcentral.
CCUACGGGAGGCAGCAGUGAGGAAUAUUGGUCAAUGGCCGGAAGGCUGAACCAGCCAAGCCGCGUGAAGGACGAAGGUGCCAAGCAUUGUAAACUUCUUUUGUCAAGGGACAAAAUCAGGCUCGAGAGCCUGACCGCGGGUACUUGAAGCACAAGCAUCGGCAAACUCCGUGCCAGCAGCCGCGGUAAUACGGAGGAGGCGAGCGUUAUCCGGAUUUAUUGGGGUUAAAGGGUGCGUAGGCGGGCUGUUAAGUCAGUGGUAAAAGCCCGGGGCUCAACCCCGGCGAGCCGUUGAAACUGGCUGUCUUGAGAUGUCGAGAGGUAUGCGGAAUGCGCAGUGUAGCGGUGAAAUGCGUAGAGAUUGCGAAGAAUGCCGAUUGCGAAGGCAGCAUACCGGAGGCGAUCUGACGCUGAGGCACGAAAGCGUGGGUAGCGAACAGGAUUAGAUACCCGGGUAGUC